This 433-nucleotide ribosomal RNA is filed under the name uncultured bacterium. Its description in RNAcentral is "partial 16S ribosomal RNA". It matches the Rfam family "Bacterial small subunit ribosomal RNA", at positions 29 to 507 of the family's 1533-position model. The record is from RNAcentral.
AACGAACGCUGGCGGCAUGCCUAACACAUGCAAGUCGAACGAGACCUUCGGGUCUAGUGGCGCACGGGUGCGUAACGCGUGGGAACCUGCCUUUAGGUUCGGAAUAACUCAGAGAAAUUUGAGCUAAUCUCGGAUGCCGUCUUCGGCCCGAAGAUAUAUAGCCUUUAGAUGGGCCCGCGUUGGAUUAGCUAGUUGGUGGGGUAAAGGCCUACCAAGGCGACGAUCCAUAGCUGGUCUGAGAGGAUGAUCAGCCACACUGGGACUGAGACACGGCCCAGACUCCUACGGGAGGCAGCAGUGGGGAAUAUUGGACAAUGGGCGAAAGCCUGAUCCAGCAAUGCCGCGUGAGUGAUGAAGGCCUUAGGGUUGUAAAGCUCUUUUACCCGAGAUGAUAAUGACAGUAUCGGGAGAAUAAGCUCCGGCUAACUCCGUG